This 247-nucleotide ribosomal RNA is filed under the name uncultured bacterium. RNAcentral describes it as "partial 16S ribosomal RNA". It matches the Rfam family "Bacterial small subunit ribosomal RNA", at positions 523 to 769 of the family's 1533-position model. The record is from RNAcentral.
AUACGAGGGGUCCAAGCGUUGCUCGGAAUCAUUGGGCGUAAAGCGGGUGUAGGUGGCUUUGAAAGUCAGAAGUGAAAGCCCCGGGCUCAACCCGGGAAGUGCUUUUGAAACUACUUAGCUUGAGUGUAGGAGAGGGCAGUAGAAUUCCUGGUGUAGUGGUGAAAUACGUAGAUAUCAGGAGGAAUACCGGAGGGGAAGCCGGCUGCCUGGCCUAACACUGACACUCAGACCCGAAAGCGUGGGGAUC